Molecule: ribosomal RNA, 483 nt
Filed under: uncultured bacterium
Lineage: Bacteria
Description: partial 16S ribosomal RNA
Rfam family: Bacterial small subunit ribosomal RNA
Source: RNAcentral
AUUGAACGCUGGCGGCAUGCUUUACACAUGCAAGUCGAACGGCAGCGCGGGCUUCGGCCUGGCGGCGAGUGGCGAACGGGUGAGUAAUGCAUCGAAACGUGCCCAGUAGUGGGGGAUAGCCCGGCGAAAGCCGGAUUAAUACCGCAUACGACCUGAGGGUGAAAGCGGGGGACCGAAAGGCCUCGCGCUAUUGGAGCGGCCGAUGUCGGAUUAGCUAGUUGGUGGGGUAAAGGCUUACCAAGGCGACGAUCCGUAGCUGGUCUGAGAGGACGACCAGCCACACUGGGACUGAGACACGGCCCAGACUCCUACGGGAGGCAGCAGGGGGGAAUUUUGGACAAGGGGGGCAACCCUGAUCCAGCCAUGCCGCGUGCGGGAAGAAGGCCUUCGGGUUGCAAACCGCUUUUGUUCGGGAAGAAAUCCUCUGGGCUAAUACCCCGGGGGGAUGACGGUACCGGAAGAAUAAGCACCGGCUAACUACGU